AGGCAGACGGCUCAGUAACACGUAGUCGACCUACCCUAUGGACAAGAAUAAUCUCGGGAAACUGGGCAUAAUUCUUGAUAGAUCAUAAUGCCUGGAAUGGUUUAUGGUUAAAAUGAUUCGUCGCCAUAGGAUGGGACUGCGGCCUAUCAGCUUGUUGGUGAGGUAAUGGCCCACCAAGGCGAUUACAGGUACGGGCUCUGAGAGGAGAAGCCCGGAGAUGGGUACUGAGACACGGACCCAGGCCCUAUGGGGCGCAGCAGGCGAGAAAACUUUGCAAUGUGCGAAAGCACGACAAGGUUAAUCCGAGUGAUUUCUGCUAAAGAAAUCUUUUGCCAGUCAUAAAACCACUGGUGAAUAAGGGGUGGGCAAGUUCUGGUGUCAGCCGCCGCGGUAAAACCAGCACCUCAAGUGGUCAGGAUGAUUAUUGGGCCUAAAGCAUCCGUAGCCGGCUUUGUAAGUUUUCGGUUAAAUCCAUGUGCUCAACGCAUGGGCUGCCGAAAAUACUGCAUGGCUAGGGAGUGGGAGAGGUAGACGGUACUCAGUAGGAAGGGGUAAAAUCCUUUGAUCUAUUGAUGACCACCUGUGGCGAAGGCGGUCUACCA
Molecule: ribosomal RNA, 602 nt
Filed under: uncultured archaeon
Lineage: Archaea
Description: bacterial SSU rRNA
Rfam family: Archaeal small subunit ribosomal RNA
Source: RNAcentral